UACGGGGGGGGCAAGCGUUGUUCGGAAUUACUGGGCGUAAAGGGCUCGUAGGCGGCCAACUAAGUCAUACGUGAAAUCCCUCGGCUUAACCGGGGAACUGCGUCUGAUACUGGAUGGCUUGAGAUUGGGAGAGGGAUGCGGAAUUCCAGGUGUAGCGGUGAAAUGCGUAGAUAUCGGGAAGAACACCUGUGGCGAAGGCGGCUCUCUGGGACGGUACUGACGCUGAGACGCGAAAGCGUGGGGAGCAAACAGG
This 253-nucleotide ribosomal RNA is filed under the name uncultured bacterium. Its description in RNAcentral is "partial 16S ribosomal RNA". It matches the Rfam family "Bacterial small subunit ribosomal RNA", at positions 524 to 776 of the family's 1533-position model. The record is from RNAcentral.